This 198-nucleotide long non-coding RNA is filed under the name Numida meleagris (helmeted guineafowl). RNAcentral describes it as "lncRNA (ENSNMEG00000015325.1)". Lineage: Eukaryota; Metazoa; Chordata; Aves; Galliformes; Numididae. The record is from RNAcentral.
CUGUGAGGCUCCUUCCUUUGAACUUCUCCUUCAGCAUUCCUUUCACCUGAAAUGGCCACAGUUAAAGUGAUGAUCACAAGGUGUUGGAGAGAGGAAGAAAGUCUUUAGGCUGCCAUUAUUUGAAAACUACAUCAUGAUUUCACCAUCUAUACACUGAGGUUGCAGAUUCUAGGUAAGUGUCAGACACCUCCUCUACUC